CUUAUCAACAAACACCUGAAUGCUUUUAUUAAGCACAAGAAUAUUAUGGAUGGGAUCCUCACUCUCCAUGAGGUGCUACACCAUACUCAUCAAAAGAAAAAAGUGGGCGUAGUGCUUAAGCUAGAUUUUGGAAAAGCCUACAACAAGAUAAACUGGGAUUUCCUCCUUGAAUGCCACAGUAACCGAGGGUUUGAGACAACUUGGUGUGGCUGGGUGAAAAAAAUCCUGAAUAAUGAUACAGUAAGCAUAAAACUCAAUAAUGAGAUGGGACCUUAUUUCCAGAACUACAAAGGUGUUCGCCAGGGCGAUCCCUAUUCCCCUUUUUCUGUUUAA
Molecule: ribosomal RNA, 333 nt
Filed under: Triticum aestivum (bread wheat)
Lineage: Eukaryota; Viridiplantae; Streptophyta; Magnoliopsida; Poales; Poaceae
Description: partial small subunit ribosomal RNA
Source: RNAcentral